GUACUCCUAGCAGCUAGCCCCCCCCCCAAAAAACAACAAACACCAUUAAUAACCCCUAAUAAACCACACCCUAAAAAACAAACCAUUUUUCCUCCCUAGUAUGGGCGACAGAAAAG
This 116-nucleotide ribosomal RNA is filed under the name Gymnogobius uchidai. Its description in RNAcentral is "partial 16S ribosomal RNA". The record is from RNAcentral. Lineage: Eukaryota; Metazoa; Chordata; Actinopteri; Gobiiformes; Gobiidae.